This 494-nucleotide unclassified non-coding RNA is filed under the name Hevea brasiliensis (rubber tree). The record is from RNAcentral. Lineage: Eukaryota; Viridiplantae; Streptophyta; Magnoliopsida; Malpighiales; Euphorbiaceae.
GUGACUAGGCUCAUUUUUACAUUUAUGCAUGGUAUAACCAUUAUAUAUAACGAAUAUAUUUUAAUAUUGAUGAUGAUUUAAUCAAUGAUGCUUUGGUUAGUUCCAAUAAUGAUCUGCCUCAAUUUUCAAUCUUGGGGAGUGGAAACGGAUUUGGAAACUUCAUAUACCUCCUAAAAUAAAAAAUUUUGUGUGGAGAGCACUCAGAGGCAUUCUCCCUACAAAGGUUAAUGUGCUGCGGAAGUGAUUUGACGGGGACACUAUUUGCUCCAUUUGCGGGUUAGAGGAGGAUGACCUUCGUGUUUUUGUCCAUUGCCCCAAGGCUAAAGAACGUUGGAAUAUAUUUGGCAUUUCUUUUCAGCCACAAGCUUUAACUAAUCUCUGUGAUUGAUUUGCUUUCAUUUUUAGAGAUGUUGAUGUGGGUUUGCAUGAGAGAGUUUAUUCUGUGUUAUGGACCUUGUGGUACCACCGUAACUUGUUAAUCUGGCAGGGAAAGA